UACCCACUAAGUAUGUUCUUGGUAUAAGCUGUUGUGUGCAUGCACACAAAAGCUUAUACCAAGAACAAACUUAGUUGGUC
Podarcis lilfordi (Lilford's wall lizard) is the source of this 80-nucleotide non-coding RNA. Lineage: Eukaryota; Metazoa; Chordata; Lepidosauria; Squamata; Lacertidae. The record is from the annotation of a GenBank genome assembly.